UUAUUAUCGCGCCAACACUAAAUUAGGAAGUGACUAAAUUAUCCAUUUCGGUCGUUAUUCAUAAUCGACAACAAUCGUUUCCACAAUUUUACAAUUCCCGUUGUUAGAUUCUUUAUAUCACAUUAAGUAAUGGAAAAAAUUCCCGUUUUUUACGCUCAAUCCGACGAGACCAAGCCCGAUUUCAUAGCAUUACCACACGCAUAUUCUUGGAUUUUCCCCCGAUUUGAUCGAAACCCACUUCCAUUCGAUUAAAUCCCUCCUUUUUCUUCCUCUUCUCUUCAACUCUGCUCUGGAAUCCCUCCGGUCCGCUGCCUUCUCAGCGUGAUCACUGGGGAUUCUGGUUCUUCUCCGAUUACUACUACUACGUCUCUCCUUUCUUCUUCUUUGGGUAUUUUCUUUUUUCUUGUGAUUUUGUCUAGCCUUGAGGUUUGUUUUUUGCCCACUUUGGUGUUUCAUUUUUGUUUGUGGAGCUAUGAGCGAUCAUCUCGUUCUGUAUGUGGACCGAUUAGUUCGGCCGCCACCCGUUGAUUCCGUCCCCAACCCAGCUGAAGCUGUUCCUCUCUUGCCGGUUGGUGGGGAUUUGGAGAGCGACUCGGUGGGUUUAUCUUCUUCAACCUCUGCUUCCAAUGUUGAGGAGAGGGGAGAAGAAAAUGAGGGUUUGGAUGGAGAAGAUGAUUCAUUGAUUCAGACAGCGGAGUGUCGCAUUUGUCAGGAUGAGGAUGUAAUUAGGAAGCUGGAAACUCCUUGUGCCUGUAGUGGCAGUCUUAAGUAUGCUCAUCGGAAGUGUAUACAGCUUUGGUGCAAUGAGAAAGGGGAUAUUAUUUGUGAGAUUUGUCAUCAGCCUUACCAGCCUGGUUAUACAGCUCCGCCACCUCCCCCUCGCAUUGAAGAAACGUCUAUUGACAUCGGGGGAGGGUGGACCAUUACUGGCACCCCUUUGAAUUUACACGAUCCUCGCCUUUUGGCUAUUGCUGAGGCUGAGCAUAAUUUAUUGGAAGCCGAGUAUGAUGACUAUGCUGCUUCAGAUGCCAGUGGAGCUGCAUUUUGUCGAGCAGCUGCUCUUAUUCUCAUGAUCCUACUUUUCUUACGUCACGCACUUGAAGUGACAGAUCCUGAUGGCGACGAUUACUUGUCUGCUUUCUUCUCUAUCUUUGACAUUCCUCAUCUUGUGGACAUUUUUUUAACCAUACCAUCCAGAUUUUCUUGCUUCGAGCAGCUGGUUUUCUCUUGCCCUGUUACAUUAUGGCUUGUGCAGUCAACAUCUUGCAACGUCGACAACGACGACAGGAACGAGAGGCUGCAGCCUUGGGUGCAGCACAAGUUGCUUUUGUGCUACAAUCAGGACGGCACAGGGGGCUGCAAUUUGCAAUAGCACCAGGACCUCAAAUGACUCCCCACCAGGAGACUGUUUAACUUACAUAGGCACAAAAUACUUGCAUUGGGUCCAUAGCAGGUGCACCAAACUCAAAGGGCCAUCAACCUUUUGUCCACUUGCCCUCUUCACCCAUCACAAACAUCCAACCAUUCUCAAGUCAAAAAGACACAUCUAGUCUCUCUUCACAGAUUUGAAUCCAUACAUUCUCCUUUUUCAAUAAUUUAAUCUUGAUGUUUGUAGAAGAUAACAAAUAAAAUUAAGGUAAAAAGUAAAAUGGAAUACAAAAGAUUGUCCUUUUUUUUUGGGUAAAGAUGAGUAGUUAGGAAAUGGAGUGCAUGUUGUUGAAUCAAAUGGGGUGUGUGUACCUCACAAAAACCUCAAUUAUUGCACAUCAAAUAAAAUUGUCCCUAUACUUACUGCCA
Molecule: RNA transcript, 1797 nt
Organism: Cucumis melo (muskmelon)
Lineage: Eukaryota; Viridiplantae; Streptophyta; Magnoliopsida; Cucurbitales; Cucurbitaceae
Exons: 8
Source: RefSeq, a predicted model, not a curated record